GACACAAGUGUCAAGUUUCAACUUUAAGAAUCUACUAAAGCAUUUGCAAAAUACUUAGUAAACGACAUUCUUUUUUAUCAGUAGUCGCAUUAGCCAAACCAUUACCUAAAAGUUAACACAUUACCUAAGAGGAGACAUGUUGCAGAAAGCUUCUUGAUAUCUUUUGCUUAUGUUCCUAGGGUAGCAAGUUUUCUUCUCUCAUUCUCAUUAUACAAAUGAUUUGAAACACAGUCCUUGUUUUUAUGUUUUAAUUUUAAAAUGUAUAUUUAAAAUGUUAUUUUUAUUAUUUUUUAUUUUAUAAAUAAAUUUAAUCUUUAAUUUUUUUUUUUUUUUUUAAUCCAAAUUAAGAAAUUACCGCUCCAAAAUUAUGAGAUUCUUAACUAAAAUCCUUAACUACAAUUUAUUAGUUUAAUAGUCACUAAAAUGUACUUAAGAAAUUAUGUGGGAUCCUAGGGAUAAACAUGCUCUUACUUGUGUCUUACGAGUACAGAUUUUGAGAAGAGAAAAAAAAAGCCGAGAUUCUUGUGUUUCUCUAUCUCUCUCUCUAUGGUGCUACCGACGAAGAGAUGUAGAGACCACCGACGACCAUUGGCCUCAGCGUAGAGACGUCGUCACUUGCGCCUGCGUAUUGAAGAAGUGGAGAGAGAUCACCGGGAGAUCGUUAGAUCUCCGAGUAACUCCGGCAAAAUCACUUUCCCUUCUUGCCUCAAAUUGGCGGCGUACGAAGAGAAGUAUAUUGUUAUAAUGGCCGGAGAUGACUUGCCUACGUAUCUUGCGACGCCUGCUGGGAACAAGUGUGUUUGUAGUCACGAGGGUGAAGUUGUAAUUCUCGAGGAGGGUGAUGCUGCAAAGAGAGAAGAAAGCAAACAAAAUGACGAAACAACGAGUCACUAAAUGUUUAUAGCUUUAAUUUGCUCUGUUUCAUAGUUUUGCUCAGACAUUACAGAAUGAAGCUCAACAGUAGCUUGGAGGAGACCAAGAAGAUUAGAGAAAACAAAAGUGCGAUCAACAAAUGUUUAUAGCUUUAAUUUUCUUCAUCAACAUCAUGGUUCAUGAUUACUAUCACUAGAAAAAUAAAUUUCAUUGUUAGUUC
Brassica napus (rape) is the source of this 1093-nucleotide long non-coding RNA. RefSeq lists it as uncharacterized. NCBI's taxonomy places the organism in Eukaryota, Viridiplantae, Streptophyta, Magnoliopsida, Brassicales, Brassicaceae. The transcript is spliced from 2 exons. The record is from RefSeq and is a predicted model, not a curated record.